CUGGGCUAGAAUGCCUCUGACAACCCUAGAGAUAGGGCUUCCUAGGGAAACCUAGGCAGAGUGCAAGGUGCUGCAUGGCUGUCGUCAGCUCGUGUCGUGAGAUGUUGGGUUAAGUCCCGCAACGAGCGCAACCCUUAUCGAUAGUCGCUAGCGGUUCGGCCGAGCACUCUAUUGAGACUGCCGUUGACAAAACGGAGGAAGGUGGGGAUGACGUCAAGUCCUCAUGGCCUUUAUGUCCAGGGCUACACACGUGCUACAAUGGCAAGUACAAAGCGCUGCAAACUCGCGAGAGGGAGCCAAUCGCAAAAAGCUUGUCUCAGUUCGGAUUGGAGUCUGCAACUCGACUCCAUGAAGUUGGAAUCGCUAGUAAUCGCAAAUCAGCAUGUUGCGGUGAAUACGUUCCC
Molecule: ribosomal RNA, 404 nt
Filed under: uncultured bacterium
Lineage: Bacteria
Description: bacterial SSU rRNA
Rfam family: Bacterial small subunit ribosomal RNA
Source: RNAcentral